AGACAAUGUCAUCGGUCUUGUACUAGGACCUGUUCUUGGCUAUGCACCAAAUCGCAGCUGUUGAUCUACUUCAAAUCUAUUAGUGAAAAG
Molecule: long non-coding RNA, 90 nt
Organism: Hippopotamus amphibius kiboko
Lineage: Eukaryota; Metazoa; Chordata; Mammalia; Artiodactyla; Hippopotamidae
Exons: 3
Source: RefSeq, a predicted model, not a curated record